Non-coding RNA from Streptococcus macacae NCTC 11558, 76 nucleotides. The record is from Rfam. Lineage: Bacteria; Bacillati; Bacillota; Bacilli; Lactobacillales; Streptococcaceae.
GUUCCUGUGCAACCGCACGAAAAUCGUUUUUAAGUAAUUGUAACAGUUCACGAUUUAGGCGAGUCUUCACGGAGGA